This 453-nucleotide ribosomal RNA is filed under the name uncultured Porphyromonadaceae bacterium. RNAcentral's name for it is "partial 16S ribosomal RNA". It matches the Rfam family "Bacterial small subunit ribosomal RNA", at positions 341 to 792 of the family's 1533-position model. Lineage: Bacteria; Pseudomonadati; Bacteroidota; Bacteroidia; Bacteroidales; Porphyromonadaceae. The record is from RNAcentral.
ACGGGAGGCAGCAGUGAGGAAUAUUGGUCAAUGGACGGAAGUCUGAACCAGCCAAGUCGCGUGAAGGAUGAAGGUAUUAUGUAUUGUAAACUUCUUUAGCAGUGGAGUAAUAAGGGGAUCGCGAUCCCUGAUGCAAGUACACUGAGAAUAAGGAUCGGCUAACUCCGUGCCAGCAGCCGCGGUAAUACGGAGGAUCCGAGCGUUAUCCGGAUUUAUUGGGUUUAAAGGGUGCGCAGGCGGCAUGCUAAGUCAGCGGUUAAAUAGCGAGGCUCAACCUCGUCCCGCCGUUGAUACUGGCAAGCUUGAUUGCGGUCGAGGUUGGCGGAAUUCGCCGUGUAGCGGUGAAAUGCAUAGAUAUGGCGAAGAACUCCGAUUGCGUAGGCAGCUGACCAGGCCGUAAAUGACGCUCAUGCACGAAAGUGCGGGGAUCGAACAGGAUUAGAUACCCUGGUA